GGCGAACGGGUGAGUAACACGUGAGCAACCUGCCCUAGGCUUUGGGAUAACCCCGGGAAACCGGGGCUAAUACCGAAUAUUACCACCGGGCGCAUGUUUGGUGGUGGAAAGUUUUUCGGCCUGGGAUGGGCUCGCGGCCUAUCAGCUUGUUGGUGGGGUGAUGGCCUACCAAGGCGACGACGGGUAGCCGGCCUGAGAGGGCGACCGGCCACACUGGGACUGAGACACGGCCCAGACUCCUACGGGAGGCAGCAGUGGGGAAUAUUGCACAAUGGGCGGAAGCCUGAUGCAGCGACGCCGCGUGAGGGAUGACGGCCUUCGGGUUGUAAACCUCUUUCAGCAGGGACGAAGCGCAAGUGACGGUACCUGCAGAAGAAGCGCCGGCCAACUACGUGCCAGCAGCCGCGGUAAGACGUAGGGCGCGAGCGUUGUCCGGAUUUAUUGGGCGUAAAGAGCUCGUAGGCGGCUUGUCGCGUCGACUGUGAAAACCCGCGGCUCAACCGCGGGCCUGCAGUCGAUACGGGCAGGCUAGAGUUCGGUAGGGGAGACUGGAAUUCCUGGUGUAGCGGUGAAAUGCGCAGAUAUCAGGAGGAACACCGGUGGCGAAGGCGGGUCUCUGGGCCGAUACUGACGCUGAGGAGCGAAAGCGUGGGGAGCGAACAGGAUUAGAUACCCUGGUAGUCCACGCUGUAAACGUUGGGCGCUAGGUGUGGGGGGCCUCUCCGGUUCUCUGUGCCGCAGCUAACGCAUUAAGCGCCCCGC
This 762-nucleotide ribosomal RNA is filed under the name Micromonospora sp. Its description in RNAcentral is "bacterial SSU rRNA". It matches the Rfam family "Bacterial small subunit ribosomal RNA", at positions 97 to 872 of the family's 1533-position model. Lineage: Bacteria; Bacillati; Actinomycetota; Actinomycetes; Micromonosporales; Micromonosporaceae. The record is from RNAcentral.